GGCUCUGUAGUGAAGUUCAUGGUGAGUUGCAAGCUCAUUGAUGUGCGUUGGUCACGCACCGGGGCCU
This 67-nucleotide transfer RNA is filed under the name Ficedula albicilla. Its description in RNAcentral is "tRNA-Cys". The record is from RNAcentral. Lineage: Eukaryota; Metazoa; Chordata; Aves; Passeriformes; Muscicapidae.